This 403-nucleotide ribosomal RNA is filed under the name uncultured bacterium. RNAcentral describes it as "partial 16S ribosomal RNA". It matches the Rfam family "Bacterial small subunit ribosomal RNA", at positions 30 to 526 of the family's 1533-position model. The record is from RNAcentral.
AUUGAACGCUGGCGGCAGGCCUAACACAUGCAAGUCGAGCGAGCGGCGGACGGGUGAGUAAUGUAUGGGGACUGCCUGAUAGAGGGGGAUGACUACUGUAAACGGUGGCUAAUAGCGCAUAAUAUCGGAUAACCCUUAUGGGAUUAGCUAGUAGGUGGGGUAAAGGCUAACCUAGGCGACGAUUCCUAGCUGGUCUGAGAGGAUGAUCAGCCACACGGGGACUGAGACACGGCCCAGACUCCUACGGAGGCAGCAGUGGGGAAUAUUGCACAAUGGGCGCAAUCCUGAUGCAGCCAGGCCGCGUGAAUGAAGAAGGCCUUCGGGUUGUAAAGUACUGUCAGCAGGGAGGCGGUACCUACAGAAGAAGCACCGGCUAACUCCGUGCCAGCAGCCGCGGUAAUAC